This 510-nucleotide ribosomal RNA is filed under the name uncultured bacterium. Its description in RNAcentral is "partial 16S ribosomal RNA". It matches the Rfam family "Bacterial small subunit ribosomal RNA", at positions 28 to 507 of the family's 1533-position model. The record is from RNAcentral.
GACGAACGCUGGCGGCGUGCUUAACACAUGCAAGUCGAACGAAGAGCGAUGGAAGCUUGCUUCUAUCAAUCUUAGUGGCGAACGGGUGAGUAACGCGUAAUCAACCUGCCCUUCAGAGGGGGACAACAGUUGGAAACGACUGCUAAUACCGCAUACGAUCUAAUCUCGGCAUCGAGGAAAGAUGAAAGGUGGCCUCUAUUUAUAAGCUAUCACUGAAGGAGGGGAUUGCGUCUGAUUAGCUAGUUGGAGGGGUAACGGCCCACCAAGGCGAUGAUCAGUAGCCGGUCUGAGAGGAUGAACGGCCACAUUGGGACUGAGACACGGCCCAGCCUCCUACGGGAGGCAGCAGUGGGGAAUCUUCCGCAAUAGACGAAAGUCUGACGGAGCAACGCCGCGUGAGUGAUGACGGCCUUCGGGUUGUAAAGCUCUGUUAAUCGGGACGAAAGGCCUUCUUGCGAACAGUUAGAAGGAUUGACGGUACCGGAAUAGAAAGCCACGGCUAACUACGUG